Molecule: ribosomal RNA, 243 nt
Filed under: uncultured bacterium
Lineage: Bacteria
Description: partial small subunit ribosomal RNA
Rfam family: Bacterial small subunit ribosomal RNA
Source: RNAcentral
AGGAUGAACGCUGGCGGCGUGCCUAAAACAUGCAAGUCAUACGGGUGAGCUUCGGUUCACCAGUGGCAAACGGGUGAGUAACACGUGGGAACACGCCUUCGAGUGGGGAAUAACGCUGAGAAAUCAGUGCUAAUACCGCAUAUGGUCGAGAGACUAAAGCAGCAAUGCGCUCGGAGAGUGGCCCGCGGUCGAUUAGCUAGUUGGUGGGGUAAUGGCCUACCAAGGCGGCGAUCGAUAGCUGGU